This 431-nucleotide ribosomal RNA is filed under the name uncultured bacterium. RNAcentral's name for it is "bacterial SSU rRNA". It matches the Rfam family "Bacterial small subunit ribosomal RNA", at positions 30 to 507 of the family's 1533-position model. The record is from RNAcentral.
CGAACGCUGGCGGCAGGCCUAGCACAUGCAAGUCGAGCGAGACCUUCGGGUCUAGCGGCGGACGGGUGAGUAACGCGUGGGAAUAUGCCCUUUGGUACGGAAUAGCCUCGGGAAACUGAGAGUAAUACCGUAUGUGCCCUUCGGGGGAAAGAUUUAUCGCCAAAGGAUUAGCCCGCGUUGGAUUAGGUAGUUGGUGGGGUAAUGGCCUACCAAGCCUACGAUCCAUAGCUGGUUUGAGAGGAUGAUCAGCCACACUGGGACUGAGACACGGCCCAGACUCCUACGGGAGGCAGCAGUGGGGAAUCUUAGACAAUGGGGGCAACCCUGAUCUAGCCAUGCCGCGUGAGUGAUGAAGGCCUUAGGGUUGUAAAGCUCUUUCAGCUGGGAAGAUAAUGACGGUACCAGCAGAAGAAGCCCCGGCUAACUCCGUG